GCAUAAUACAGACUCUAGUUUCUACUCAUUGACAAUUUAUUUAUGAUUUCCAUGUAAGCUGCUUGUGAACCAAACUGCCCAUCCUUUAUACAUGUGUGCAACAUCAAAGAAACAAGCAUCAAUGGAUAAUGUUCAAAAUACUUCACAAAUUAAUAAGCUACAUGCAUGUUAAACUUUGAACAAGAACUUGUGAAUUCACAUGAAAUGAUACAAAAAAAAGAUUAUGCUAAUCAACAGACCACUAGCUACUCAAGAUAAUUAUGCAGGGAGCUAAGCCGAAUCCAAUCUAUCCACAAAGUAUGAAAUGAAGACCAAUAUCGCACCACAAAUUAUCAAAUGAAGUUGCCAGAAAGAAAAAUGACAAACUUCACAAUCAUUGCUUAUAGUAGCCACUUUGAUGUGGAGGGGGGUAUGGAUUAGGAACA
Molecule: unclassified non-coding RNA, 425 nt
Filed under: Hevea brasiliensis (rubber tree)
Lineage: Eukaryota; Viridiplantae; Streptophyta; Magnoliopsida; Malpighiales; Euphorbiaceae
Source: RNAcentral